AGAAUCAACGCUGGCGGCGUGCCUAACACAUGCAAGUCGCACGAGAAAGGGGAGCAAUCCCUGAGUAAAGUGGCGCACGGGUGAGUAACACGUGAAUAAUCUACCUCCGAGUGGGGAAUAACUGAGAGAAAUCUUAGCUAAUACCGCAUAACACUUACGAGUCAAAGCAGCAAUGCGCUUGGAGAGGAGUUCGCGGCCGAUUAGUUAGUUGGCGGGGUAAUGGCCCACCAAGACGAUGAUCGGUAUCCGGCCUGAGAGGGCGCACGGACAUACUGGAACUGAAACACGGUCCAGACUCCUACGGGAGGCAGCAGUGGGGAAUUUUGCGCAAUGGGGGAAACCCUGACGCAGCAACGCCGCGUGGAGGAUGAAGCCCUUGGGGUGUAACUCCUUUCGAUCGGGAAGAUAAUGACGGUACCGAUAUAAGAAGCCCCGGCUAACUUCGUGCCAGCAGCCGC
This 458-nucleotide ribosomal RNA is filed under the name uncultured bacterium. Its description in RNAcentral is "SSU rRNA". It matches the Rfam family "Bacterial small subunit ribosomal RNA", at positions 26 to 518 of the family's 1533-position model. The record is from RNAcentral.